RNAcentral lists this ribosomal RNA (490 nucleotides) under uncultured bacterium. RNAcentral describes it as "partial 16S ribosomal RNA". It matches the Rfam family "Bacterial small subunit ribosomal RNA", at positions 30 to 507 of the family's 1533-position model. The record is from RNAcentral.
AUUGAACGCUGGCGGCAGGCCUAACACAUGCAAGUCGAACGGUAACAGGAAGAAGCUUGCUUCUUUGCUGACGAGUGGCGGACGGGUGAGUAAUGUCUGGGAAACUGCCUGAUGGAGGGGGAUAACUACUGGAAACGGUAGCUAAUACCGCAUAACGUCGCAAGACCAAAGAGGGGGACCUUCGGGCCUCUUGCCAUCGGAUGUGCCCAGAUGGGAUUAGCUUGUUGGUGGGGUAACGGCUCACCAAGGCGACGAUCCCUAGCUGGUCUGAGAGGAUGACCAGCCACACUGGAACUGAGACACGGUCCAGACUCCUACGGGAGGCAGCAGUGGGGAAUAUUGCACAAUGGGCGCAAGCCUGAUGCAGCCAUGCCGCGUGUAUGAAGAAGGCCUUCGGGUUGUAAAGUACUUUCAGCGGGGAGGAAGGGAGUAAAGUUAAUACCUUUGCUCAUUGACGUUACCCGCAGAAGACGCACCGGCUAACUCCGUG